This 74-nucleotide transfer RNA is filed under the name Thermoplasmata archaeon. Its description in RNAcentral is "tRNA-Ala". It matches the Rfam family "tRNA". From Rfam's summary of the family: Transfer RNA (tRNA) molecules are approximately 80 nucleotides in length. Their secondary structure includes four short double-helical elements and three loops (D, anti-codon, and T loops). Further hydrogen bonds mediate the characteristic L-shaped molecular structure. tRNAs have two regions of fundamental functional importance: the anti-codon, which is responsible for specific mRNA codon recognition, and the 3' end, to which the tRNAs corresponding amino acid is attached (by aminoacyl-tRNA synthetases). tRNAs cope with the degeneracy of the genetic code in two manners: having more than one tRNA (with a specific anti-codon) for a particular amino acid; and 'wobble' base-pairing, i.e. permitting non-standard base-pairing at the 3rd anti-codon position. Lineage: Archaea; Methanobacteriati; Thermoplasmatota; Thermoplasmata. RNAcentral also lists the same sequence under 1 other name. The record is from RNAcentral.
GGGCCGGUAGAUCAGCCAGGAAGAUCGUUCCCUUGGCAUGGGAGAGGGCGGGGGUUCAAAUCCCCCCCGGUCCA